This 580-nucleotide ribosomal RNA is filed under the name Aspergillus niger. Its description in RNAcentral is "eukaryotic LSU rRNA". The stretch from base 218 to 371 matches the Rfam family "5.8S ribosomal RNA". Lineage: Eukaryota; Fungi; Ascomycota; Eurotiomycetes; Eurotiales; Aspergillaceae. The record is from RNAcentral.
UUCCCGUAGGUAACCUGCGGAAGGAUCAUUACCGAGUGCGGGUCCUUUGGGCCCAACCUCCCAUCCGUGUCUAUUGUACCCUGUUGCUUCGGCGGGCCCGCCGCUUGUCGGCCGCCGGGGGGGCGCCUCUGCCCCCCGGGCCCGUGCCCGCCGGAGACCCCAACACGAACACUGUCUGAAAGCGUGCAGUCUGAGUUGAUUGAAUGCAAUCAGUUAAAACUUUCAACAAUGGAUCUCUUGGUUCCGGCAUCGAUGAAGAACGCAGCGAAAUGCGAUAACUAAUGUGAAUUGCAGAAUUCAGUGAAUCAUCGAGUCUUUGAACGCACAUUGCGCCCCCUGGUAUUCCGGGGGGCAUGCCUGUCCGAGCGUCAUUGCUGCCCUCAAGCCCGGCUUGUGUGUUGGGUCGCCGUCCCCCUCUCCGGGGGGACGGGCCCGAAAGGCAGCGGCGGCACCGCGUCCGAUCCUCGAGCGUAUGGGGCUUUGUCACAUGCUCUGUAGGAUUGGCCGGCGCCUGCCGACGUUUUCCAACCAUUCUUUCCAGGUUGACCUCGGAUCAGGUAGGGAUACCCGCUGAACUUAA